Molecule: non-coding RNA, 750 nt
Organism: Gorilla gorilla gorilla (western lowland gorilla)
Lineage: Eukaryota; Metazoa; Chordata; Mammalia; Primates; Hominidae
Source: the annotation of a RefSeq genome assembly
AUGCUGGAGGAUGAGCUGGCCUCCACACAAAGCAAGCUCACCCUCACCCAGAAGCGCUGGCUGCCCGACCACACCUACAUCUGCCAGGUCACCUAUCAAGGUAACACCUUUGAGGACAGUGCCAAGAAGCGUGCAGAUUCUAACCCGCAGGGGGUGAGCACCUACCUGAGCCGGUCCAGCCCCUUCUACCUGUUCAUCCGCAAGUUGCCCACAAUCACCUGUCUGGUGGUGGACCUGGCACCCAGCAGGGAGAACGUGAAGCUGACUUGGUCCCAGGCCAGUGGGAAGUCUGUGGCUCAGGUCAUCCUAAGGCAAGAGAAGCAGUGCAAUGGCACGUUCACCAUCACGUCCACCCUGCUGGUGGGCACCAGAGACUGGAUCAAGGGGGAGACCUACCAGUGCAGGGUGACCCACACCCACCUGCAGUCCACGACCAAGAUCAGCGGCCCAUGUGCUCCCCCACAGGUCUACGUGUUUGCAACGCUAGAAGAGCCGAGGAACCAGGACAAGUGCACCCUCACCUGCCUGAUCCAGAACUUCUGGCCCAAGGACAUCUUGGUGCAGUGGCUGUACAACGAGGUGCAGCUCCCGGACACUUGGCACAGCAUGACGCAGCCCCACAAAACCAAGGGCUCUGGCUUCUUAGUCUUCAGCUGCCUGGAGGUUACCAGGGCUGAAUGGGAACAGAAAAACGAGUUCAUCUGCUCUGUGGUCCAUAAGACAGCGACUGGCUCACAGACCGUCAAGUAA